UCCUUGCAGCUGAGGUUCAUGUAGGUGGGC
Molecule: non-coding RNA, 30 nt
Filed under: Homo sapiens (human)
Lineage: Eukaryota; Metazoa; Chordata; Mammalia; Primates; Hominidae
Source: RNAcentral